Molecule: non-coding RNA, 605 nt
Organism: Kogia breviceps (pygmy sperm whale)
Lineage: Eukaryota; Metazoa; Chordata; Mammalia; Artiodactyla; Physeteridae
Source: RefSeq, a predicted model, not a curated record
CCGAUCGCCAAUCCGCCUGCAGCAAGUUUGUUCAACUCGACAGGCUGUAACCAGAGCCGGGGAAAGGGAGGGUGGGUCGGUGAGGCCCCUGCUCCCUAAAGACUGGAAAAAAAAGAGGUUCAGUCUGUUAGAAGAGGCUAAUAUCUGUCUGCAUGAUGGACUUAGCAACAAAGUUUAUCCAAUAGCCACCUUCACAAAUCCACCUUCUAAAUAUGGUUCUUAACAAAGACUUCAAAGGAAUCUGAUAACCUGCUGAACAGGGAAGCCAGCUGCCCUGUCAUAAGGAGACUCAAGCAGCCCAUGGAGAGGCCCACGUGGCAAGGAACUGAGGCUUGCAAGCAACCAUGUGAAUGAACUUGGAAGUAGAUCUUCUGAAGCCUGCCAAGCAGCAUGUUGAAUGAGUUUUAGGUAUUUUGAAAACUCUGAACAGAGAAUAGUAUCAGAGUUAGGGAUUUGUGAAGUUUCUACCAAGAAACAAUAAUUUAAGCCAAUGUUCAGAUGUGAUUGCCAUGGAAAAGAGUUUAAUGAAAAAAAGGAUAAAGUAGGAGACUUUGGAGUGUGGAGAAAAAGGGAGAGGAAGAAGGGAGAGAAGACACAGAGAAUAU